CUACGGGAGGCAGCAGUCGAGAAUUUUUCACAAUGGGCGAAAGCCUGAUGCAGCGACGCCGCGUGCGGGAUGACGGUCUUCGGAUUGUAAACCUCUUUCAGCAGGGACGAAGCGAAAGUGACUGUACCUGCAGAAGAAGCACCGGCUAACUACGUGCCAGCAGCCGCGGUAAUACGUAGGGUGCAAGCGUUGUCCGGAAUUAUUGGGCGUAAAGAGCUCGUAGGCGGUUUGUCGCGUCGGAUGUGAAAACCCAAUGGCUUAACCUUGGGCCUGCAUUCGAUACGGGCAAACUAGAGUGUGGUAGGGGAGACUGGAACUCCUGGUGUAGCGGUGGAAUGCGCAGAUAUCAGGAAGAACACCGAUGGCGAAGGCAGGUCUCUGGGCCAUAACUGACGCUGAGGAGCGAAAGCGUGGGGAGCGAACAGGAUUAGAAACCCGAGUAGUCC
RNAcentral lists this ribosomal RNA (446 nucleotides) under uncultured bacterium. RNAcentral's name for it is "bacterial SSU rRNA". It matches the Rfam family "Bacterial small subunit ribosomal RNA", at positions 339 to 796 of the family's 1533-position model. The record is from RNAcentral.